UUUUGAAAACACGCAAAACAAGAGAGAGAAGCCAUUGAGCCGUCUCUCCAUCUCCCUUCUCUCUUCCUUCAACUCUAUUCCUCCUCUCUUCUUGAUGCCGGCUUCAGCGUGGGGAGGCGACAAAAGUGAUGCGCCGAUGCCGACGCUGACGUGGGGAGGCGACGCUGCUGUGAACGCACCGUCACGACCCAAUCUUAUAAAUUGUGGGUUGAUUUGUAGAUAAGAAGAUACGUUUAUCAUGAUGUAAUAAGGCUAGGGGAUGCUGAGAAAUUGAUGGAUUAUGGUCGUGUUCAAGUAAGUAGUGAUUAAUUGUGUGAUGAAAUGAAAAGAAUUGAAGCAAUAUUAUUCUUGUAAUGCGUUUCAUAAACUUUUUCUGCAGUCUGGUGGAAUCAUCCACAGGGAAAAAGGCAUUGGACCUCACUUUUCUGUUGUUGUGCUCGUCUUGUUGUCGUGUCUCGUUUUCUUGAUUUUGUUUGUCGGUAGCGGUUUGUUAAGCUCUUCUGCCACUGGUUAGUUGAUAUUGACUGGUUUGAUUACCACAUUAUGAUAGAUCUCAGGAAGAGUAUUUAUAUGAUAGUUUUAAGUUUUUACAUUUUAGAUUUUAGGCAUUUUUUGUAUUUGGGAUGAUUUGACCUAUUAGUGAGUCAAUAGUGAAAAAUGAUUUAAAAACAUGCAAAAUAUCUAGAUUUUGUAGAUAGCAUUGAUUAAUCACCUUCAUUUUGUUGAAGAAAUAAAGUGGUUGAAUAAUUAUAUAAUCUAAUUUUCUUAUUUCAUAUUAUAAAUGAAAUUCAACCGAAGAGGGAAUUGGGGCAAGAUGAAUGCUGAAUUCUAAAGAACUCAGUAUCAUUGAUAUUUGAUAUAGCUUGGAAGUACAGAGUUAGCUAAUAAUGCUUUGUAUUAGUUGGAAGCUUUCGUGAUCAAAUCUAAGAAAGGUGCCAAGGUCCAAAAUGUUUGUUAUUAUGUGGUACACAACCGUCUUUCCAUGAACAUUUAUGUAAUCAUGUAGAUGCCAAAUUGUAGAAGGAACUGACAGUAAUGCUCGUUUAGUAUAUAGAGUAGAGAAGUGAAGACAACUUGAGUUUUGGAGGUUGUCCAAUGUAACAUUGCUUUUACUAAUUUUUGGCAUUAGUUGGGUAGAUAUAUGUGUUUCAUUGGGAUAACCAGAUUUCAGCCUGCACAGGAUUUUGUCAUGUUCUUGCCAUUACGAGUUGCACCUUUAAUAAAUACCACAUCAAUUUGGUCCAAGAAUAGCAUUAUCAGAGCAGCCUGGCAUUUUCUUCUUUUUCUCUAAAUUUUCAAAUAGGGUCUGACUUAUGUGUCUUUGCUUUGCAAAUAUGUGGCUUUCCCUUUCACCAUCUUUUCUAUUUUUUUAAAAGAAAAAUGGGAAGGAAAGUAGAGAUAAAUGAUUUUCACUUCUUCUCUUUAGUACUUAGGCUUGAUCCACGUCGAGCUCUCUUCUUGUAAGUCCACCUUGUCUUCUGUUGUCCACCAUUUUCCUGAGUGGGUUGCACCACUUCUCUUUCUAAAGCCGUUAGUCUUUGGAGAUUGUUGACCACACCAAGCUUUUCACAGGUAAUAUUUCGUGGUCGUCACCGUCAUUAUAUGAUGUUAAUUGUAUCAUUGAUUUCUUCACUAAACAUUUUUGUUUUACAUGUUUACCAGUUUUGG
Molecule: long non-coding RNA, 1668 nt
Filed under: Olea europaea (common olive)
Lineage: Eukaryota; Viridiplantae; Streptophyta; Magnoliopsida; Lamiales; Oleaceae
Description: long non-coding RNA (OEUR_LNC004898)
Source: RNAcentral